UCAUUCUUUCAUCCAUCACGAGCUAUAUAUGAAGACAUCUCAAGACGAUGACGAGAAUGAUGAUUGCAACAACGAUGAAGAUGAUGGAAUUGAAUUCCAUCAUGAAUCCUGUAAAAGGAUUCAUUCAAAUUGAUUCAAUGAGUUACCAAGUUGUAAUGGAGCCUUGCUGCCUGAACGAUUUCCCUGCUAAAUAUCAUGAUAUCUACAUGUAACGACUUGAUCAGUAAUUUUGUGUAUUUUCAUCUCGUUGUUCUAUUUGAUGUUCCCCAUAUAUGUACCUGAUGUUUGGUGAUACGCGGGGAUGGUUUGGAUUAGUUUGUAAAGGUUUUGGAGUAAAUUGAAACA
Molecule: long non-coding RNA, 345 nt
Organism: Nicotiana attenuata
Lineage: Eukaryota; Viridiplantae; Streptophyta; Magnoliopsida; Solanales; Solanaceae
Exons: 2
Source: RefSeq, a predicted model, not a curated record